RNAcentral lists this small RNA (2637 nucleotides) under Pan troglodytes (chimpanzee). RNAcentral's name for it is "processed transcript". Lineage: Eukaryota; Metazoa; Chordata; Mammalia; Primates; Hominidae. The record is from RNAcentral.
UUUUCUUAGGUAAGAAACGGUUGAACUGGAUUCAAUUUUUAUCACAGCUUGUGUAAGACUGCCUCUGUCCCUCCUCUCACAUGCCAUUGGUUAACCAGCAGACAGUGUGCUCAGGGGCGUUGCCAGCUCAUUGCUCUUAUAGCCUGUGAGGGAGGAAGAAAGAAACAUUUGCCAGCCAGGCCAGUGACAGAAAUGGAUUCGAAAUAUCAGUGUGUGAAGCUGAAUGAUGGUCACUUCAUGCCUGUCCUGGGAUUUGGCACCUAUGCGCCUCCAGAGGUUCCUAAAAGUAAAGCUUUAGAGGCCACCAAAUUGGCAAUUGAAGCUGGCUUCCGCCAUAUUGAUUCUGCUCAUUUAUACAAUAAUGAGGAGCAGGUUGGACUGGCCAUCCAAAGCAAGAUUGCAGAUGGCAGUGUGAAAAGAGAAGACAUAUUCUACACUUCAAAGCUUUGGUGCAAUUCCCAUCGACCAGAGUUGGUCCGACCAGCCUUGGAAAGGUCACUGAAAAAUCUUCAAUUGGAUUAUGUUGACCUCUAUCUUAUUCAUUUUCCAGUGUCUGUAAAGGUAGGCAGCUUGUGUGAUCAAAUUAAUUUCACUUUUGUUCUCAGCAUAAAUAUUGUUUUCAUGGAGAUUUGAACUAAGCUUUUUCUUAGGAGGACAUAGGGAUUUUAACAUGGAAGAAGAGCCCUAAACCUAACUCCUAAUUCCUUUCUAUGGGAUACAUUUUGAAUCCAUACUUCCGUGAUUGCAUGUCUAUAAGAAAAGAGAGUGCAGAACCCUCAAAGCCUCUGCCUCAAAAACUUGAGGAAAUGACAAUCAUCUCCUUGAAGGCACAAGGUCUUAGUUAUGACUCCUGAUUUCACCUCUUGGGAUGUUCACAGACACAGAGUUUCAUGAAGCUGUGGUGUCCAGAAAACCUGCUGCACAUAGGGUGCACAAUGAGUUUCCAUCUUCUUGCCUCUUUUCAAGGGGCAAGAACUCAGUCCAGGAGUGUCUUAAACUACAGACCUUCAUGGGAAACCUUGUUGCUUCUGCUUCCUCUCUUUUCACACUGGAGUUUUUAUUUUUGCUUAGCCAUGAAUUCUUGUGUCAUUCAUAACUUUUGUCUUAAGGUACUGAAAACUAGUCAGGCUAGUUAAUGCAAAAGGGUAUAUUAGAUAUGAUAAUGGGAAAUCAAAAGCCAGGGCUACAUUAAGAAUUGGAUAAAAACUCUAAAAGUAUAUCCUUUCUCCACCAUUAUCUCUGCUUUAUUACAAAAGGCUUUUUAAAUAUUUGUUCCAACCUUUUUCAUUGGUGGCAUUUAUGGCUUUAGAGCACUUUCAGGCCCAUGUUCAUUACCGUGAGCUCCUGUGCAUCUCCCAACUUCCAGACUAGCCUGGAAAACACCUCCAUUGACCAUGAUUGCUUCAUGGUUCUGUUCAUGGAACAUCACAUGUUCAGGGAGAUAAACAACUCUGAUAGCGGCCUCUGGGUCAAAAGUACAAUCCUUUUUUCCUGGAUAUCAAGGUAUUUUGCAGUUGAAGAGAGCUAUUGCCACAGAGAAAAUUAUAGCAGCAGAAGAAUGUAAUGUAACUCAAUGAUGACACUCCAUUAGGAACCAGAAAGAGGUAUUUAUUUAUACAUAUAAUAGUUGUAAGACAUUAGAGGAAGCCUGUCUUCUGAAAACAUUCCUUAUACCUUCAUAUGUAGCACACUUUGUACAUAUCACUUUUUGGAGCAUGGCAUCACCUACCUCAUGGUGGAUUAGUAUCCUUAAAUGUUCCUCAGAGUAUGGCUAUGUGUGGAGAAAUUGAUUUGCCACAUCACUAAACCGAUUCCUUCUACUUCAGCCAGGUGAGGAGCUGAUCCCAAAAGAUGAAGUUGGAAAAGUGCUGUUUGACACAGUGGAUCUCUGUGCCACGUGGGAGGCCAUGGAGAAGUGUAAAGAUGCAGGAUUGGCCAAGUCCAUCGGGGUGUCCAACUUCAACCGCAGGCAGCUGGAGAUGAUCCUCAACAAGCCAGGGCUCAAGUACAAGCCUGUCUGCAACCAAGUGGAAUGUCAUCCUUACUUCAACCAGAGAAAACUGCUGGAUUUCUGCAAGUCAAAAGACAUUGUUCUGGUUGCCUAUAGUGCUCUGGGAUCCCAUCGAGAAGAAAAAUGGGUGGACCCGAACUCCCCGGUUCUCUUGGAGGACCCAGUCCUUUGUGCCUUGGCAAAAAAGCACAAGCGAACCCCAGCCCUGAUUGCCCUGCGCUACCAGCUGCAGCGUGGGGUUGUGGUCCUGGCCAAGAGCUACAAUGAGCAGCGGAUCAGACAGAACAUGCAGGUGUUUGAAUUCCAGUUGACUUCAGAGGACAUGAAAGCCAUAGAUGGCCUAAACAGAAAUGUGCGAUAUUUGACCCUUGAUAUUUUUGCUGGCCCCCCUAAUUAUCCAUUUUCUGAUGAAUAUUAACAUGGAGGGCAUUGCAUGAGGUCUACCAGAAGGCCCUGCGUGUGGAUGGUGACACAGAGGAUGGCUGUAUGCUGGUGACUGGACACAUCGCCUCUGGUUAAAUCUCUCCUGCUUGGUGACUUCAGCAAGCUACAGCAAAGCCCAUUGGCCAGAAAGGAAAGACAAUAAUUUUGUUUUUUCAUUUUGAAAAAAUUAAAUGCUCUCUCCU